Molecule: ribosomal RNA, 380 nt
Filed under: uncultured bacterium
Lineage: Bacteria
Description: bacterial SSU rRNA
Rfam family: Bacterial small subunit ribosomal RNA
Source: RNAcentral
AUUGAACGCUGGCGGCAUGCUUUACACAUGCAAGUCGAACGGUAACAGGUUAAGCUGACGAGUGGCGAACGGGUGAGUAAUGCAUCGGAACGUGCCCGGUCGUGGGGGAUAACGCAGCGAAAGCUGCGCUAAUACCGCAUACGAUCUGAGGAUGAAAGCGGGGGGACCGUAAGGCCUCGCGCGAUCGGAGCGGCCGAUGUCAGAUUAGGUAGUUGGUGGGGUAAAGGCUCACCAAGCCGACGAUCUGUAGCGGGUCUGAGGGGAUGAUCCGCCACACUGGGACUGAGACACGGCCCAGACUCCUACGGGAGGCAGCAGUGGGGAAUUUUGGACAAUGGGCGCAAGCCUGAUCCAGCCAUGCCGCGUGCGGGACGAAGGCC